ACAGGCUUAACACAUGCAAGUCGAGGGGCAUCAGGAAGAAAGCUUGCUUUCUUUGCUGGCGACCGGCGCACGGGUGAGUAACACGUAUCCAACCUGCCCUUUACUCGGGGAUAGCCUUUCGAAAGAAAGAUUAAUACCCGAUAGCAUAAUGAUUCCGCAUGGUUUCAUUAUUAAAGGAUUCCGGUAAAGGAUGGGGAUGCGUUCCAUUAGGUUGUUGGUGAGGUAACGGCCCACCAAGCCUUCGAUGGAUAGGGGUUCUGAGAGGAAGGUCCCCCACAUUGGAACUGAGACACGGUCCAAACUCCUACGGGAGGCAGCAGUGAGGAAUAUUGGUCAAUGGGCGCUAGCCUGAACCAGCCAAGUAGCGUGAAGGAUGAAGGCUCUAUGGGUCGUAAACUUCUUUUAUAUAAGAAUAAAGUGCAGUAUGUAUACUGUUUUGUAUGUAUUAUAUGAAUAAGGAUCGGCUAACUCCGUGCCAGCAGCCGCGGUAAUACGGAGGAUCCGAGCGUUAUCCGGAUUUAUUGGGUUUAAAGGGAGCGUAGGUGGACUGGUAAGUCAGUUGUGAAAGUUUGCGGCUCAACCGUAAAAUUGCAGUUGAUACUGUCAGUCUUGAGUACAGUAGAGGUGGGCGGAAUUCGUGGUGUAGCGGUGAAAUGCUUAGAUAUCACGAAGAACUCCGAUUGCGAAGGCAGCUCACUGGACUGCAACUGACACUGAUGCUCGAAAGUGUGGGUAUCAAACAGGAUUAGAUACCCUGGUAGUCCACACAGUAAACGAUGAAUACUCGCUGUUUGCGAUAUACAGUAAGCGGCCAAGCGAAAGCAUUAAGUAUUCCACCUGGGGAGUACGCCGGCAACGGUGAAACUCAAAGGAAUUGACGGGGGCCCGCACAAGCGGAGGAACAUGUGGUUUAAUUCGAUGAUACGCGAGGAACCUUACCCGGGCUUAAAUUGCAGUGGAAUGAUGUGGAAACAUGUCAGUGAGCAAUCACCGCUGUGAAGGUGCUGCAUGGUUGUCGUCAGCUCGUGCCGUGAGGUGUCGGCUUAAGUGCCAUAACGAGCGCAACCCUUAUCUUUAGUUACUAACAGGUUAUGCUGAGGACUCUAGAGAGACUGCCGUCGUAAGAUGUGAGGAAGGUGGGGAUGACGUCAAAUCAGCACGGCCCUUACGUCCGGGGCUACGCACGUGUUACAAUGGGGGGUACAGAAGGCAGCUAGCGGGUGACCGUAUGCUAAUCCCAAAAUCCUCUCUCAGUUCGGAUCGAAGUCUGCAACCCGACUUCGUGAAGCUGGAUUCGCUAGUAAUCGCGCAUCAGCCACGGCGCGGUGAAUACGUUCCCGGGCCUUGUACACACCGCCCGUCAAGCCAUGGGAGCCGGGGGUACCUGAAGUACGUAACCGCAAGGAUCGUCCUAGGGUAAAACUGGUGACUGGGGCU
RNAcentral lists this ribosomal RNA (1437 nucleotides) under uncultured organism. RNAcentral describes it as "SSU rRNA". It matches the Rfam family "Bacterial small subunit ribosomal RNA". The record is from RNAcentral.